CUGAGUUAGGGUCUCUUCUUGAGCCCGAACCUCCAACCCUUUGUUAAAAACACUUUGUUGCUUUGGCAGGCCCGUCCUAUCCUUUAACCGGGAGACGACCGCCGGGGGCGUUUAGUCACCUCUGGUCAGUGCUUGCCGAUAGCCUAUUCAAAAUUCUUUAUUAAAUAAUGUCUGAAAAAUUAUAAUUAAAUAUAAUUA
RNAcentral lists this unclassified non-coding RNA (198 nucleotides) under uncultured Ascomycota. Its description in RNAcentral is "sequence contains ITS1". Lineage: Eukaryota; Fungi; Ascomycota. The record is from RNAcentral.